RNAcentral lists this ribosomal RNA (465 nucleotides) under uncultured bacterium. RNAcentral's name for it is "partial 16S ribosomal RNA". It matches the Rfam family "Bacterial small subunit ribosomal RNA", at positions 28 to 507 of the family's 1533-position model. The record is from RNAcentral.
GACGAACGCUGGCGGCGUGCUUAACACAUGCAAGUCGUACGGUAAGGCCCUUUCGGGGGUACACGAGUGGCGAACGGGUGAGUAACACGUGAGUAACCUGCCCACAACUUUGGGAUAACGCUAGGAAACUGGUGCUAAUACUGGAUAUGUGCUCCUGCUGCAUGGUGGGGGUUGGAAAGCUCCGGCGGUUGUGGAUGGACUCGCGGCCUAUCAGCUUGUUGGUGGGGUAGUGGCCUACCAAGGCGGCGACGGGUAGCCGGCCUGAGAGGGUGACCGGCCACAUUGGGACUGAGAGACGGCCCAGGCUCCUACGGGAGGCAGCAGUGGGGAAUAUUGAACAAUGGGCGCAAGCCUGAUGCAGCAACGCCGCGUGCGGGAUGACGGCCUUCGGGUUGUAAACCGCUUUCAGCAGGGACGAAGCUUUUUGUGACGGUACCUGCAGAAGAAGCACCGGCUAACUACGUG